ACUUGUGCCCAGAGUUUGAUUUUCCACAGACCAGGUAGAGGCCAAGAGCCUCUCACAGACUCUGCAGCAGGGUUGCUAUGAUUAACUCUUAAGUACUCCACAACUACACGCUUUUGAAACUGGCGUUGGCAUAGCGUUAGUUCUGUGCAGGGCGGACGCAGCAGGACAGAAUCUCCCUGGGCAUCUUUUCGGAGCAUCAAUUUUACUGCAAAAUUUUGAAAAAACAAAUUUAAUUGAUUUCCAAGGUUUGUCAAGGAGGACAGAAACUCAGAGCACCCUGCACUUGGGGAUCGGCACUAGGAGCUGCUCUCUGGAUGGGGAGAUGGGAGCUAGCAGCUCACAAUGGGGUCACAAGACAGGAGUGUUAUUGGGAGAAUCCUGUUUUGUUGACAAAUACUGAGAUCAUCCAACUCACCAGGCAAAGUUGACUUGUGUAAGUGAUCUUCAGAUAUGAAAAGUGUGGAACCCAGCUGCUCCUCCUCAGAUAGGCGACAUGACAAUUGUAGGCCUGGAGGGAGAUGAGUUGACAACAUCCCUUCCCUAUAACCACUUGUUGGAUCUGAUCUCACAUACACAGACUCACUCCAAAGACUGACCUGGGUGUCUGCUUCUCAGCUUCAUUAACAGUGGGUGCUCACAAGUCUAGUGGAGAGAAUGUCUGAGAAGAGGAGGACCUUGACUGCUCCUGAACCGGAGACCUCAGAACCAUGGUGCUCUCCUGUCCAGGCUGAACACUAAUGCUCUUGAGAGUCACAUUGAAGAAAGCCAACAUUUUUAAAUCUAAUGGAUACAUUCAUUUUGUGGUAUGUGAUGUUUAGAAAGAGGGAGCUAAAGUUAGUGGUCAUGAGCUAAAUACCCUGUGAGUGCUGGAGGCUGAGAACUUCAAGAUCAAAGUACUGGAAGAUUUACUGUCUGUAGUAACAGGAUCUUCUACACUGUAGCUGCUUCCAGUGUGAGCCAGACAAAUGUACUGAAUAUAGGCCUCAGAGGUGAUCCCACCACCUUCACAGCAAUGGUCCUUCCCCAGGAGCUUCCCCUGAGAAACGGGCCAUCCAGACCAUACUGCUGCUGAAUAAUGUCUCAUUGGAAAUCUCAACAUUCUUCAUUUAGAACACCACCGCCAAUAUCUACCAUAUGCCGGGAUUAUUGUGCAGGGUAAUUUUUAUUAUUACUUGAAUGUAUAUUUAUAUACUGCAGGAACUAUACAUGUUUAUGGCUAGAAUUACUGUUUUUCCUUAAUAUUAAGAUAGUAUUGGUAGAUUUAAUUAUCUGAAUUUAGUCAUUUGGCUCCAGUCAAAAUGGUUUCUCCUUAGCAGUACUCUGACUUUGUAAAAGUAAUCACAUUUGGAUUCUGUUUCCUCCAGUAGUUUUUAAAAUGAUUUUUUUGAUUAUUCAUAUAACUUUUUUUUAAUGAUCUUUUAAAAACUAGUAUGUGGUUAUAUAUUACUUGUUACACUUUUUGUUUUCUUUAUUUUUUGGUUGGUUACACCUUAAAUGAUUAUUUCUAUUGCCUUUUAAUGUUACUUAGAAAAUAUCACAUGUAAGACUUUUGCUUUUAUAAAGUUAGUAAUACAUUUUCAAGCCUAAACUCUUGAAAUUUUAAUAAUUUCUAUGAUAUUUGAAAAUUAUUUUUAUCUUCUUUUGAGUGCUAAAAGAUAAUAUUUGUCUACCUGAUUAACUAGCACAACUUUUAAAAAGUUAUUUAGCACUCUUUAUAUUCAUUCAUUUGUUUU
RNAcentral lists this long non-coding RNA (1733 nucleotides) under Homo sapiens (human). RNAcentral describes it as "HSALNT0341078". The record is from RNAcentral. Lineage: Eukaryota; Metazoa; Chordata; Mammalia; Primates; Hominidae.